Molecule: long non-coding RNA, 5588 nt
Filed under: Citrus maxima (pomelo)
Lineage: Eukaryota; Viridiplantae; Streptophyta; Magnoliopsida; Sapindales; Rutaceae
Description: long non-coding RNA (CMAX_LNC004100)
Source: RNAcentral
CCCAUGCUAAUGUAUACAGAGCGUAGUGUCACGGGAUGAGUGUUUUGCGCAGCUAACCCGUGCGGCACUUAAACAACUUUGCCGAAUGUUGCUAAGUAAGCCUAGAGAUUCUCGAACAAGAGAAGAGAGAGCAAUUGAGCCAAAGAAACUUGUAUUGCACAAAGAGAGAUUACAAUGCUUGUUGGAUACAAAUGCCAAAUGCCAUCCCAUAUUUAUAGGGGAGGCUUUACCUAACUUUGCCUAACUUUGCCUAACUUUGACAAACUUGGUCAAACUCUAGAAUAUUAUACAAUUUCCUAGCUAUUUACAUGUGCUGGAAUUGUAUAAAGUAUUCUAGAAUAUUUACAUGUUCACAUGUGCUAGAGUUGCCUAGAACCUUCCGGAAUUGGGCCAAGCUAGCACUCUUGGCCUUGUGUUGGCUCUCUAGCCCGAAAUUGUGGGCAAUUGGGCUAGCGAAUUGGGUGGUCCGUAACAUCCUCCCCCACUUAAGCUCGCGGCGUCCUCGUCGCGUUCUCGUGCAUGAAGUGCUGGAUGUGCUCAGCGAAUUGCCACAAAUCAUCUUCCCGUUCCCAAGUGGCUUCGCUCUCGGGGAGGUUUUUCCACUUCACCAAGUACUCGCUAUGUGCUGGCACGCCCCUCCUCGAAACCGUUCGGUCCGCAAUGAUGUAGUCCACAUCUUUGUCGAAUGCGGUGACAACGGCAGUUGGCGCGCGCCUCGAUUCUCCGCGACUUGGUUCUCCCAUGUCUUCGUGAUAUGGCUUGAGAAGGCUUACAUGGAAGACCGGAUGGAUCUUGAGUCUUGGCGGAAGUUGGAGUUGAUACGAGACGUUGCCUACACGUCGAACAACUCGGAAGGGUCCCUCGUAGCGCCUCACUAACCCCUUGUGAACUUUCCGCAAAGUCUUGAAUUGUUGGGGUAGGAGCUUGAUCAUGACUUGAUCACCUUCCUUGUACUCAACAUGCCGUCUCCUUGUAUCCGCCCAUUUCUUCAUUUUCCUCGCGGCUUUGUCGAGGUAGGCUCGCGUGAUGUCCGCUUCCUCAUGCCAUUCGCGGGCGAGCUUGUGUGCCGCGGGGCUUUUCCCUCCGUAAGUCGAGGCUAUGGCAUUGGGGGUCAUGGGCUGGAAUCCCAUGAUGAUCUCGAAUGGACUCUUGCCCGUAGCCUCGCUUCGCUGCAAGUUAUAAGAAAAUUGGGCAAUGUCAAGUAGCUUUGCCCAAUCCCGCUGGUGAGCGCUCACAUAAUGCCUCAAGUACAUCUCGAGAAGGCCAUUGAUGCGCUCGGUCUGCCCAUCCGUUUGUGGGUGGAAGCUUGUCGAGAACUUGAGAUCGGUCCCCAACAUCUUGAAGAGCUCCGUCCAAAAACGCCCAGUGAACCGAGGGUCUCGGUCGCUCACAAUGCUCUUCGGAACUCCCCAAAGCUUCACAAUGUGCUUGACGAAUAGGCGGGCUGCCUCAUCCGCUUUGCAAUCGACGGUGCGGCAAUGAAUGUAGCAUACUUGCUGUAUCGGUCGACAACGACCAUGAUGCUACCGCAACUUUCGGACUUGGGCAGCGAUGUGAUGAAGUCCAUGGAGACACUCUCCCAUGGCCUUGUUGCUAGUGGUAGCGGCUCUAACAAUCCCGCUGGAAGUUGAUGAUCCACCUUGUCUUGUUGGCACACAAGACAAGUUCGCACAUAUGCCUCGAUGUCGUCCCUCAUGUGCGGCCAAAAAUACGAGGUUUGAACUAGUGCGGUGGUGCGCUCGAUUCCUGGGUGACCAGCCCACUUAGAGUCGUGGCACUCCUUGAUUACUUCCUUCCGCAAGUUUCCCCACCUUGGCACGAACAGCCGAUCUCCCUUGGUGAGGAGGAUGCCUUCCUCUUGCCAAAACCGCCUUGUCUUUCCCUCGAGCACCUUCUCCAGCAAAUCCUUUGCUAGCGGAUCUUGUUGGAGGCCUUCCUUGAUACGUGAGACAAGGUCAGACUUCGGUUGGCUCAUGCUAAGUGUUGCCAAUUCCGCCUUGCGGCUUAGAGCGUCUGCAACAACAUUGGCUUUCCCCGGUUUGUACUCUAGCCGAUAGUCGAAUUCCGCAAGGAAAUCUUGCCACCGCGCUUGCUUCGGACUCAACUUCUUCUGAGUUUGAAAGUAGCUUGUCGCCACGUUGUCCGUCAUGAUCGUGAAGUGUGAGCCAAGCAAGUAAUGUCGCCACACUCUUAGACAAUGGAUGAUGGCUGUCAUCUCCUUUUCUUGCACCGUGUAGCGGCGUUCCGUAUCAUUUAGCUUUCGACUCUCGAACGCUAUUGGGUGGCCUUCUUGCAUAAGGACUCCACCUAUGGCGAAAAUCCGAGGCAUCCGUUUGAACUUCGAAGGGCUUGGUGUGGUCCGGAAGAGCGAGGACUGGUUCCUCUGAAAUUGCCUUCUUCAACUCCUCGAAUGCCCGUUGGCACUCUUCGGACCAAUGCCAUGUUCUGUUUUUCUUGAGCAUAUCCGUCAAGGGUGCCGCCUUGGCUGAAUAGCCCUUGAUGAAGCGACGGUAGUAGUUCACCAGCCCAAGGAAUGAGCGAAGCUCGGGUACUUUCGAGGGAGGCUCCCAUUCGAAGAUGGCCUUUACUUUGUCAUUCUCCAUCAUGAUCUUCCCGCCCGCAAUCUUGUGGCCAAGGAACUCCACCUCUUGUUGGGCAAACGAGCACUUCUCUAGUUUGAGGAAGAGCUCAUUGUCUCGAAGUACUUGGAGGACUUGUUGCAAGUGUUGGGCAUGCUCCUCGAGCGUGGUGCUAUACACCACUAUGUCAUCCAAGUACACGACCACGAAGCGGUCGAGGAAUGGUUGGAGCACCUUGUUCAUGAGUGUGCAAAAUGUGGCGGGUGCAUUAGUAAGGCCAAAAGGCAUCACAAGAAAUUCGAAAGACCCGUACCUUGUUGUGCACGCUGUCUUUUGUUCAUCUCCCUUGGCGAUGCGCACUUGGUAGUACCCGGAGCGCAAGUCAAGUUUGGUGAAGUACCGCGCUUUACCAAGCUGGUCGAACAAGUCCGCAAUCAAGGGAAUCGGAUACUUGUUCUUGAUGGUGAUUUUGUUGAGCGCUCUAUAAUCGAUGCACAUCCGCAGCGAUCCAUCCUUUUUCUUUUGGAAGAGGACCGGUGCACCGAAUGGGGCCUUUGAGGGGCGAAUGUAGCCUGCGUCCAGCAAGUCUUUGAGUUGUCUCCGCAACUCCUCUAAUUCGGGUGGCGCCAUGCGGUAGGGCGCCAAGGCUGGUGGCUUCGCGCCUUGUUCCAGCUCGAUUGCAUGAUCCACCUCUCGCAGAGGUGGGAGCUUCUUCGGAAGUUCUGGAGGCAUCACGUCCUUGUACUUACUGAGGACGGCUUGAAUUUGCGGAGGGACUUGGCUUGGCGAAGUUCCGCUAUUUCCUUCCUCAUUUAGUUCCCGAAUGGAGACUAAGAAGCUUGGGUCCUUCUUGAAAGCCUUCUUGAAUUGCAUGGCGGAGAGUGUCUUCUCUUCGGACUUGCCUCGUUCCGUGGGAACCAUGCAUGCUUUACUCCCGUCGAGGAUACUUAGGGAGUUUGUAGCGGGCAGCGGGAAGGCAUGGACUUGGUCGAAGAAUUCCAUGCCGAGGACCAUCUUGAAGUCAUCCAUGGGCACAAUGGAGAAGUCAAGCUUUCCGCUCCACGUACCGAGUGUGAUGUGCACGCCUUGUGCAAUUCCCGCAAUUGGCUUGGCGGGUGAGUUUACUGCCUUCAUUGUGCCUCCUUCCUUGGUGGCCUUGAGGCCUAAACGCUUGGCCUCAUCUACAGACACGAAAUUGUGUGUUGCUCCCGUGUCUAGCAGUGCGCGAACGGACUGACCGUUUACCUUUGCGCUUACAUACAUGAGCCCUUUCUUGACGAGUGCGGGCUGUUGGCGAUUGAGUGCGCCGAGGCGUUGGAGAGAACCCAUGCUGAGUUGGGGUUCCUCCGUGGACAUUGUGGGGUUACUCUUGAGUUGGGCAGCAAGAGCGUUAAGCGACCUCUUCUCCGGACAGUCGCGCACCCAAUGAGGACCAUUGCAUAUGAAGCAUGGGCUUCGCGGCUUUGGCGCCUCCUUCUUGCCCUCCGAUUUUCCUUGCCAACUCUUGUUGCUAGGUGGCUUUUUCUGCCCCCAAUCUUUGCGGCUGUUGUUCUUGUCCUUGCGACUCUCUCCCCCACCUUUGCCUUGGUUGGCCUUUUUGUCCUUGGAUUGGGUAGAGUAUUCAGUGAGCGACUCCGCAACGGCAAUGGCGUCGUCAAGUGUUUGAACACCACGCCUAUCAAGCUCGGUCUUGGCCCAAUCCUUGAGGCCAUCUUGGAAGUAGAAGAGUGAAUCCUUGUCGGACAUGUCGCUUAUCUCCAACAUGAGGGUAGUGAACUCGUUGAUGUAGUCCCGAAUGCUACCCGAUUGCUUGAGGCGACGUAAGCGCACUCGCGCUUCCUUCUCCGCAUUGCUUGGGCGAACUGCUUUCGGAGUUCUUGCUUGAAGUCGGCCCAAGUGUCGAUGGCGCAAAUGCCCUUGCCCAUCUCGCCAUGCUUGCGACGCCACCAUAGUUGUGCAGCGCCUCUAAGAUAGGUGGGUGCAGUGCCCACUUUCGAUGCCUCAUCUCGAACACCCAUGGCAUCGAAGUAUUGAUCCAGCCCAAAGAGGAAAUUGUCCACGAUGGUGGCAUUGCGUGUGCCAUCGUAGGUGUCGGGCUUUGGCACGUCAAUGCGGCGCGCAUCACUCGAGUUUGCGGAAGCUGGACUUGUGGAGAGUGUGCGCUUGUGCCAUGCCCAAUCCGAGCGGACUUCAUCCACUUCCGCACGGACAGCACGUAGUUCUUCCUGAACAAAACUACGAAGUUUGAGCAACUCAUCAUGGAAAGAACGAAACUCACCUCGGAGAAUGUUUGCUUGCUCAUGGAUGAGAGCUUUUGUGGCCACCGUGAACUCGGCGUAUUCUCCCUCGAGACCAUCCACUCUUUCCUCCAAUCCCACGAGGCUAUCUUGAGUGGCGGACAAUGCUAUUUCGAGAGUGCCUACACGAGGCUCCAACGCAUCCACGGAUAGGGCCUUGGACUUGCCGCGAGUCUUGCCUUGGGCGCGUUCUCCCUCUCGGCCGCGGCUUGGUUCCGGUGGAACAUCCACACCAACAACACCCUCUUGUGCUACGUUCGAAGGGUUGGCCAUUGCUUCGUGAGCUAAUUUGCGUGCGUGCAAACCUUAGCUCUGAUACCACUUGUCACGGGAUGAGUGUUUUGCGCAGCUAACCCGUGCGGCACUUAAACAACUUUGCCGAAUGUUGCUAAGUAAGCCUAGAGAUUCUCGAACAAGAGAAGAGAGAGCAAUUGAGCCAAAGAAACUUGUAUUGCACAAAGAGAGAUUACAAUGCUUGUUGGAUACAAAUGCCAAAUGCCAUCCCAUAUUUAUAGGGGAGGCUUUACCUAACUUUGCCUAACUUUGCCUAACUUUGACAAACUUGGUCAAACUCUAGAAUAUUAUACAAUUUCCUAGCUAUUUACAUGUGCUGGAAUUGUAUAAAGUAUUCUAGAAUAUUUACAUGUUCACAUGUGCUAGAGUUGCCUAGAACCUUCCGGAAUUGGGCCAAGCUAGCACUCUUGGCCUUGUG